Molecule: ribosomal RNA, 301 nt
Filed under: uncultured bacterium
Lineage: Bacteria
Description: partial 16S ribosomal RNA
Rfam family: Bacterial small subunit ribosomal RNA
Source: RNAcentral
CAGCCGCCGCGGUAAUACGUAGGUGGCAAGCGUUGUCCGGAAUUAUUGGGCGUAAAGAGCUCGCAGGCGGUUUCUUAAGUCUGAUGUGAAAGCCCCCGGCUCAACCGGGGAGGGUCAUUGGAAACUGGGAAACUUGAGUGCAGAAGAGGAGAGUGGAAUUCCACGUGUAGCGGUGAAACGCGUAGAGAUGUGGAGGAACACCAGUGGCGAAGGCGACUCUCUGGUCUGUAACUGACGCUGAGGAGCGAAAGCGUGGGGAGCGAACAGGAUUAGAUACCCCUGUAGUCCCUGUCUCUUAUAC